RNAcentral lists this long non-coding RNA (480 nucleotides) under Prunus dulcis (almond). RNAcentral describes it as "sRNA ncRNA". The record is from RNAcentral. Lineage: Eukaryota; Viridiplantae; Streptophyta; Magnoliopsida; Rosales; Rosaceae.
AUGACAAGAAAGCAAAUUGACCUUGCAUACAUAAAAAAUGAUGUUGCAAGAAAAACCACCUUCAAGAAAAGGAAGAGCGGACUGAUGAAAAAGGUAAGUGAACUCAGUAUUCUAUGUGGAACUGAUGCAUGUGCAGUAAUUUAUGGUCAGCAUCAAGCCAACCCUGAUGUUAGUCCAUGCCCUGAUGGAGCCCUACGAACAAUCACAAGGUUUAAGCAGAUGUCCAAGAUGGAAAGGAGUAGGAACAUCCUGAAUCAAGAAAGUUUUCUUAGGCAAACGAUAUUUAAAGCUGAUGAGAAAUUGAAGAAACAGAUGAGUGACAACCAAGAGAAGGAAAUGAUGAUUCAAGCCAUUUACGGGAGCCUUCCAGCUGACUGGUUGCAAAAAUUGAGUCAUGUGGAUUUGAAUGACUUGUGGUUGUCAGUGGAGAAGAAUAUAGAGGCAAUUGCAGAAAUGAUGACCUCACUGGAAAAACCAUGA